This 253-nucleotide ribosomal RNA is filed under the name uncultured bacterium. Its description in RNAcentral is "partial 16S ribosomal RNA". It matches the Rfam family "Bacterial small subunit ribosomal RNA", at positions 524 to 776 of the family's 1533-position model. The record is from RNAcentral.
UACGUAGGGUGCGAGCGUUGUCCGGAAUUACUGGGCGUAAAGCGUGCGCAGGCGGUUUGGUAAGACAGAUGUGAAAUCCCCGGGCUCAACCUGGGAAUUGCAUUUGUGACUGCCCGGCUAGAGUGUGUCAGAGGGGGGUAGAAUUCCACGUGUAGCAGUGAAAUGCGUAGAUAUGUGGAGGAAUACCGAUGGCGAAGGCAGCCCCCUGGGAUAACACUGACGCUCAUGCACGAAAGCGUGGGGAGCAAACAGG